CCUAACUUUACAACCGAGGAUGGGAAUGACGGAACCACGUAUCCCGAAACCAUCCCGUCAAUACUCCUGCAUGCGUCAUAACUAACAGGUUAUGGGGUUUGAAGUACAGAGAGAUUCGGCAGAACAAAGGCUGGAGCCAUUUGAAUAGAAAAGGUAUGCCAACGGAUAUGCCUUAUAUAGGAGUUUUUGUACA
This 193-nucleotide non-coding RNA is filed under the name Paenibacillus sp. 1_12. Lineage: Bacteria; Bacillati; Bacillota; Bacilli; Caryophanales; Paenibacillaceae. The record is from RNAcentral.